RNAcentral lists this ribosomal RNA (430 nucleotides) under bacterium. RNAcentral's name for it is "partial 16S ribosomal RNA". It matches the Rfam family "Bacterial small subunit ribosomal RNA", at positions 355 to 776 of the family's 1533-position model. The record is from RNAcentral.
UGGGGAAUAUUGGACAAUGGGCGCAAGCCUGAUCCAGCCAUGCCGCGUGUGUGAAGAAGGCCUUUUGGUUGUAAAGCACUUUAAGCGAGGAGGAGGCUACUUGGAUUAAUACUCUAAGAUAGUGGACGUUACUCGCAGAAUAAGCACCGGCUAACUCUGUGCCAGCAGCCGCGGUAAUACAGAGGGUGCGAGCGUUAAUCGGAUUUACUGGGCGUAAAGCGUGCGUAGGCGGCUUCUUAAGUCGGAUGUGAAAUCCCUGAGCUUAACUUAGGAAUUGCAUUCGAUACUGGGAAGCUAGAGUAUGGGAGAGGAUGGUAGAAAUCCAGGUGUAUCGGUGAAAUGCGUAGAGAUCUGGAGGAAUACCGAUGGCGAAGGCAGCCAUCUGGCCUAAUACUGACGCUGAGGUACGAAAGCAUGGGGAGCAAACAGG